RNAcentral lists this ribosomal RNA (407 nucleotides) under Boiga cynodon. RNAcentral's name for it is "partial 16S ribosomal RNA". It matches the Rfam family "Bacterial large subunit ribosomal RNA", at positions 1970 to 2594 of the family's 2925-position model. Lineage: Eukaryota; Metazoa; Chordata; Lepidosauria; Squamata; Colubridae. The record is from RNAcentral.
UGUCUACUAAUUAUAGACCUGUAUGAAAGGCAAAAUGAGGGUCUAACUGUCUCUUAUAAUAAAUCAAUUAAACUGAUCUCCUAGUAAAAAAGCUAGGAUAAUAACAUAAGACCAGAAGACCCUGUGAAGCUUAAACUAAACUAUUAACCCAAAUAAUAACUACUUUCGGUUGGGGCGACCUUGGAAUAAAAAAGAACUUCCAAUCAAAUUACUAUAAUUUAACCCAGGCCAACAAGCCAACUAACGACCCAGUAUAACUGACAAAUGAACCAAGUUACUCCAGGGAUAACAGCGCAAUCUUCUUCAAGAGCCCAUAUCAAAAAGAAGGUUUACGACCUCGAUGUUGGAUCAGGACAUCCUAAUGGUGCAGCCGCUAUUAAGGGUUCGUUUUUUCAACGAUUAAUAGU